GAUGAACGCUGGCGGCGUGCCUAAUACAUGCAAGUAGAACGCUGAAGGAGGAGCUUGCUCUUCUGGAUGAGUUGCGAACGGGUGAGUAACGCGUAGGUAACCUGCCUGGUAGCGGGGGAUAUCUAUUGGAAACGAUAGCUAAUACCGCAUGACAACAGUUAUUGCAUGAUAACUGUUUAAAAGGGGCAACUGCUCCACUACCAGAUGGACCUGCGUUGUAUUAGCUAGUUGGUGAGGUAACGGCUCACCAAGGCGACGAUACAUAGCCGACCGGAGAGGGUGAGCGGCCACACUGGGACUGAGACACGGCCCAGACUCCUACGGGAGGCAGCAGUAGUGAAUCGUCGGCAAUGGACGGAAGUCUGACCGAGCAACGCCGCGUGAGUGAAGAAGGUUGUCGGAUCGUAAAGCACUGUUGUAAGAGAAGAACGAGUGUGAGAGUGGAAAGUUCACACUGUGACGGUAUCUGACCAGAAAGGGACGGCUAACUACGUG
This 495-nucleotide ribosomal RNA is filed under the name uncultured bacterium. RNAcentral's name for it is "partial 16S ribosomal RNA". It matches the Rfam family "Bacterial small subunit ribosomal RNA", at positions 28 to 507 of the family's 1533-position model. The record is from RNAcentral.